RNAcentral lists this long non-coding RNA (372 nucleotides) under Manihot esculenta (cassava). Its description in RNAcentral is "long non-coding RNA (MESC_LNC001695)". Lineage: Eukaryota; Viridiplantae; Streptophyta; Magnoliopsida; Malpighiales; Euphorbiaceae. The record is from RNAcentral.
GGAGAGCUUCCAUGCCAUAGUAGAUAUGGCUAGGAAAAUGGAGGCCAGUGCCAUCAUUCAGGGGACAGUUAAGCAGACAGUGGCACAGCCUUCUGGUUCUAAAACUCCGGGUGGGGGAAGAUUAGAUCCUUCUACCCUGAGUGCAGCAGCUUCAGGCAGUAAGAGAUGGGGUAAACCCAAGGGUAAAAAGAAUAAGUUCUGGAGUAAAGUCAAGUCCAGUCUGGGAUUUGGGAGUGGCUCAAGCUCUGGUGCGGAUAAUGCAGUUUGUGCAAGGUGUGGUAGGCCACACAAGGGAGUAUGUCGGCUUGGGACAAACGCCUGUUUCAGAUGUGGUCAGGAGGGGCAUAUGGCUCGAGAAUGUCCAAGAGCAGU